Molecule: transfer RNA, 73 nt
Filed under: Salmo salar (Atlantic salmon)
Lineage: Eukaryota; Metazoa; Chordata; Actinopteri; Salmoniformes; Salmonidae
Rfam family: tRNA
About the family: Transfer RNA (tRNA) molecules are approximately 80 nucleotides in length. Their secondary structure includes four short double-helical elements and three loops (D, anti-codon, and T loops).
Source: Rfam by way of RNAcentral
GACCUUGUGACAUAAUGGAUAAGGUGUCUGUCUUUGAAUCAGAAUAUGGAGGGUUUGAGUCCCUUUGUGGUGG